Molecule: long non-coding RNA, 1187 nt
Filed under: Salvia miltiorrhiza (redroot sage)
Lineage: Eukaryota; Viridiplantae; Streptophyta; Magnoliopsida; Lamiales; Lamiaceae
Description: long non-coding RNA (SMIL_LNC002138)
Source: RNAcentral
UCAGAUGGCUUAGCUUCCUAGUUUUAUAUGAAGAUAUUUUGGCCAAGCAGAGUUGGAAUUUGAUCGAGCUGGCAAUUACACUGCACUCAUUGUAAGUCCAUAGAAAGUAUUUCUCGAUCCUGUUGUAGUGAAGUUCCUCUGAGUGGCAAUUUUUUUUUUGAGCUAUGAUGCUUAGGUGCAAUUGAGGCUCAGUUUCUUCUUUUUUGUGUAAAAGGAUAAGGCUUCUUGAAUUCCUCAUGGCUGCAUUAUUGGUGAAUGAAGAAUAUAAUUUUGCUGCAUCUUGAUUUAACUGUUUAGACGAGGCACUAAAGGAUAUACUACUAUUUAGAGAAAUGAGGGUUUGCUUUAUUUUCCUAGUUUUUCUUGCAUAGGAUGCAGGCUUUAAUGCGAAGCUGCAAAUUCAAAUACGGAUGUCCUAGGUGUACUCUUGAUAGUUUUGUAGUGAAUUCCUGUAAAACGAUGUUAUUUGUGUAUAUAUAUGCAACCUGUCCUCUCUCUCACUAGCUCUCUUCCCCUCCUAUUUUAUUUUUUAGCCGGUGUCUCAUGUAGUAUAAACUCUUGUAUACUAUGUCAUUUCAUCCAAUGUUAUAAACAUGACAGGAAUAGACAUUUUUAUCAAAUAUCAAGUUUAGUAUGAGACAAAAUAGAUGAUUUGAAAUUUCUCUCAAAAAUAAAAUGAAACCACCAACCUUACUUUAUUGAAUGUAAACCAAGUAUAGCAUCCAAAAUUACAAAAAAACGGGUAACAUACUAAGCUGAACAAUACAGGUGAGGUACAAUUGGCAUAACAGAGAGCUUGAUUAUGUAUGUUUAUUGCUGAUGUUGGUUUAUUAGUUCUUCUGUUUGAUGUAAUCAGUGGCUAUUGUGGAGGUUUUUUCUGUUUGAGUAAUCAGUGGCUAUUGUGGAGGAUGAAUCCUCAUUAAGUUUCCAUUUCUGCAAGACUUGUGAGAGGCUCAUGCCGAAGUCUACCCUGAAGCUAUCUUCAUCUGCAGCUGGCUUCCACUGCUCCACCAGAGACGAGAGCACCGUGACGACAUGGCUCAUGUCAGGCCGUUGGUUGGCUUCUCUUGUGCAGUGCCCGGCUAGCUGGGCCGCCUUCCACAUACUUUCGAAAGUUUCCUCGUUUAAGUCUGAACGGAGGACAGGAUCCACAGCCUCUUUGAUCUGAUCUUUAUCUUGGAGGAAUG